UUAUUUUAACAACGUACCAUUACUGGGAUAUGUACAAGUAUGGAGAUAAGAAAAAUAGCGUUUGGAUGAAAAUUUGACUGUUUCUGGAAUAAGAAAAAUAGCGUUUGUAUAGAUAAUAUGGAAUAAGAAAAAUAAUAGAUAAUUAUAUAUAGAAAAUAUAGGUGUUGGUGGGAAUAGUUAUACCAGCUUAUUUCAGGUAUCCGAAAACUACUAUUUUCGGAUAAAAAAUUUGUGUCUGGGUAAAAAGGCGGGGAUAAGGGGUUAU
This 265-nucleotide long non-coding RNA is filed under the name Ananas comosus (pineapple). Its description in RNAcentral is "long non-coding RNA (ACOM_LNC014797)". Lineage: Eukaryota; Viridiplantae; Streptophyta; Magnoliopsida; Poales; Bromeliaceae. The record is from RNAcentral.